Long non-coding RNA from Paramormyrops kingsleyae, 472 nucleotides. RefSeq lists it as uncharacterized. NCBI's taxonomy places the organism in Eukaryota, Metazoa, Chordata, Actinopteri, Osteoglossiformes, Mormyridae. The record is from RefSeq and is a predicted model, not a curated record.
AUUAAAACCGUAGACCCGCUCUUCUCCGUCCUUCUUUCAUCGCAGUCUUCUGGAGAUUGCAGAUGUGGCGUUUACUGUCAUCGGUGUUCUGCUGUAAGGUCAACAUGUCCUGUGAAUGGCGACGAUGUCAGAGGUGACCGCAAGGGCAGUGGUGGAAUGUGAUCAGAUGGGAUGUUGGUGACUUAAACUGACUCCGGCAGACUCAUCAGCAGGAGGCUGGGGAUGUGACCAAGGUUGGAUGCCCUUCCUGUCAGUGUGGUGGUGGCAUAAGAUGCUGCAUCUCCCAGCCCUGUGUGAUGCCAGUAGAUGAGUGUGGACCGUGCCGAGAGAAAGGACCGGAGGUUCUUCGGAGAACCAACAGGAACAAAGAUCUGCGUGUGACCCAUACAUCUUAUUGAAGAUUCCUUCCCCCCCCCCCUUGUUGGCGUCACACUUUAUUGUACAAUAAAGUUUAUUUUUAUAAAACCCUCCA